GGGGGACAGCGGCAGGUGGGCGGUUUGGCUGGGGCGGCACACCGCCGAAAAGAUAUCGGCGGUGCCCAAAGGUCGGCUCAGGCGGGUCAGAAAUCCGCCGUAGAGUGCAAGGGCAAAAGCCGGCCUGAC
RNAcentral lists this ribosomal RNA (129 nucleotides) under Nanoarchaeum equitans Kin4-M. RNAcentral's name for it is "large subunit ribosomal RNA". It matches the Rfam family "Archaeal large subunit ribosomal RNA", at positions 2312 to 2440 of the family's 2987-position model. Lineage: Archaea; Nanobdellati; Nanobdellota; Candidatus Nanoarchaeia; Nanoarchaeales; Nanoarchaeaceae. The record is from RNAcentral.